RNAcentral lists this long non-coding RNA (334 nucleotides) under Prunus persica (peach). RNAcentral describes it as "long non-coding RNA (PPER_LNC006243)". The record is from RNAcentral. Lineage: Eukaryota; Viridiplantae; Streptophyta; Magnoliopsida; Rosales; Rosaceae.
GGACAUGCGUGGAUUUUCUCAUAACUCAUCCCUAAAGCAGACAAUGUCUCUUUUGACUCAUACAUAGAGGAAGGUAGUGUAUUUCCUUCUGGAAGCACAUCAAUCAUCCCAUGCUUUUCUUUUAAAUUAUUAAACUUCACCAAAGCCGACAACAUCGUGUACUUACUGCUAUCAGGGUACAAGGGUUCAUCUCCAUCCCCAAUCACAUUGGCAAACUCAUAAGGAUCAAAUCCAGUAUCGCCUAAAUCAUUAUCAUCCUUCCCUACUUCUUCAGAAACAAAACUGAACCUACUUUGCUCAUCUUCUUCCAGAUUUCUACUAGUAUUAGUUGUCC